RNAcentral lists this ribosomal RNA (1451 nucleotides) under metagenome. RNAcentral's name for it is "bacterial LSU rRNA". It matches the Rfam family "Bacterial large subunit ribosomal RNA", at positions 1454 to 2925 of the family's 2925-position model. The record is from RNAcentral.
CAUGACAGAACUGUGGGGACACGUAAGGAAAGCGGAAGCCGGGAAUGGAAAGCCCGGUGCAAGCGGGGUACCAGCCACUUUGGCAAAUCCGGGUGGCAAUGGGAAGCCGUGAUGCGGAGCGAAAUAAAGUAGCGAAGUCCGUGAGCCAUGCGUCAAGAAAAGCCGCUAUCGUUUAUACCGUGCCCGUACCGUAAACCGACACAGGUGGAAGAGGAGAGAAUCCUAAGGCCGGCGGAAGAAGCAUUGUCAAGGAACUCGGCAAAAUGGCCCCGUAACUUAGGGAUAAGGGGUGCCUGGGAAACCUGGCCGCAGAGAAUAGGCUCGAGCAACUGUUUAGCAAAAACACAGGUCUAUGCGAAACCGAAAGGUGAGGUAUAUGGGCUGACGCCUGCCCGGUGCUGGAAGGUUAAGAGGAGAGGUUAGCGCAAGCGAAGCUUUGAAUUUAAGCCCCAGUAAACGGCGGCCGUAACGAUAACGGUCCUAAGGUAGCGAAAUUCCUUGUCGGGUAAGUUCCGACCCGCACGAAAGGCGUAAUGAUUUGAGCGCUGUCUCGACAAUGCAUCCGGUGAAAUUGAAGUACCAGCGAAGAUGCUGGUUACCUGCGCCAGGACGGAAAGACCCCAUGGAGCUUUACUCCAGUCUGGUACUGGGACUCGGUAUUGCAUGUACAGGAUAGGUGGGAGGCUAGGAGAUGGUAACGCCAGUUGCCAUGGAGCCGCUGUUGGGAUACCACCCUUGCAGUAUUGGGUUUCUAACCAGCCGCCGUGACCCGGCGGUGGGACAAUGCCAGACGGGGAGUUUGACUGGGGCGGUCGCCUCCGAAAGGGUAUCGGAGGCGCCCAAAGGUUCCCUCAGAAUGGACGGAAACCAUUCGAAGAGUGCAAAGGCAGAAGGGAGCUUGACUGCGACACCGACGGGUGGAGCAGGUACGAAAGUAGGGCUUAGUGAUCCGGUGGUAUUAAGUGGGAAUGCCAUCGCUCAACGGAUAAAAGCUACCCUGGGAUAACAGGCUUAUCACUCCCAAGAGUUCACAUCGACGGAGUGGUUUGGCACCUCGAUGUCGGCUCAUCGCAUCCUGGGGCUGUAGUAGGUCCCAAGGGUUGGGCUGUUCGCCCAUUAAAGCGGUACGCGAGCUGGGUUCAGAACGUCGUGAGACAGUUCGGUCCCUAUCCGGCGUGGGCGUAGGAUAUCUGAGAGGAGCUGUCCUUAGUACGAGAGGACCGGGAUGGACGGGCCGCUGGUGCAUCGGUUAGACUGCCAAGUCUACGGCCGAGUAGCCAAGCCCGGAAGGGAUAAACGCUGAAGGCAUCUAAGCGUGAAGCCCCCCUUAAGAUGAGAUAUCCCAUUCGUAAAGAAGUAAACCCCCUUGAAGACGACGAGGUAGAUAGGGCAGAGGUGGAAGUAUGGCAACACAUGGAGCUGACUGUUACUAAUCGGGUGAGGGCUUGAUC